Molecule: ribosomal RNA, 421 nt
Filed under: uncultured bacterium
Lineage: Bacteria
Description: bacterial SSU rRNA
Rfam family: Bacterial small subunit ribosomal RNA
Source: RNAcentral
UAAGGAAUAUUGGUCAAUGGACGCAAGUCUGAACCAGCCAUGCCGCGUGGAGGAUGAAGGUCCUCUGGAUUGUAAACUUCUUUUAUUUGGGAAGAAAUGCAUCUUUUCUAAGGUGUUUGACGGUACCAGAUGAAUAAGCACCGGCUAACUCCGUGCCAGCAGCCGCGGUAAUACGGAGGGUGCAAGCGUUAUCCGGAUUCACUGGGUUUAAAGGGUGCGUAGGUGGGCAGUUAAGUCAGUGGUGAAAUCUCCGGGCUCAACCCGGAAACUGCCAUUGAUACUAUCUGUCUUGAAUAUCGUUGAGGUAAGCGGAAUAUGUCAUGUAGCGGUGAAAUGCUUAGAUAUGACAUAGAACACCAAUUGCGAAGGCAGCUUGCUAACCGAAUAUUGACACUGAGGCACGAAAGCGUGGGGAUCAAAC